AUUGAACGCUGGCGGCAUGCCUUACACAUGCAAGUCGAACGGCAGCACGGGUGCUUGCACCUGGUGGCGAGUGGCGAACGGGUGAGUAAUACAUCGGAACAUGUCCUGUAGUGGGGAAUAGCCCGGCGAAAGCCGGAUUAAUACCGCAUACGAUCUACGGAUGAAAGCGGGGGACCUUCGGGCCUCGCGCUAUAGGGUUGGCCGAUGGCGGAUUAGCUAGUUGGUGGGGUAAAGGCCUACCAAGGCGACGAUCAGUAGCUGGUCUGAGAGGACGACCAGCCACACUGGGACUGAGACACGGCCCAGACUCCUACGGGAGGCAGCAGUGGGGAAUUUUGGACAAUGGGCGAAAGCCUGAUCCAGCAAUGCCGCGUGUGUGAAGAAGGCCUUCGGGUUGUAAAGCACUUUUGUCCGGAAAGAAAUCCUUGGCCCUAAUACGGUCGGGGGAUGACGGUACCGGAAGAAUAAGCACCGGCUAACUACGUG
RNAcentral lists this ribosomal RNA (486 nucleotides) under uncultured bacterium. RNAcentral describes it as "partial 16S ribosomal RNA". It matches the Rfam family "Bacterial small subunit ribosomal RNA", at positions 30 to 507 of the family's 1533-position model. The record is from RNAcentral.